RNAcentral lists this ribosomal RNA (1297 nucleotides) under Escherichia coli. RNAcentral's name for it is "partial 23S ribosomal RNA". It matches the Rfam family "Bacterial large subunit ribosomal RNA", at positions 1646 to 2925 of the family's 2925-position model. Lineage: Bacteria; Pseudomonadati; Pseudomonadota; Gammaproteobacteria; Enterobacterales; Enterobacteriaceae. The record is from RNAcentral.
ACCCCAAACCGACACAGGUGGUUGGGUAGAGAAUACCAAGGCGCUUGAGAGAACUCGGGUGAAGGAACUAGGCAAAAUGGCACCGUAACUUCGGGAGAAGGUGCGCCGGCGAGGGUGAAGUAUUUACUACGUAAGCCCAUGCCGGUCGAAGAUACCAGGCCGCUGCGACUGUUUAUUAAAAACACAGCACUCUGCAAACACGAAAGUGGACGUAUAGGGUGUGACGCCUGCCCGGUGCCGGAAGGUUAAUUGAUGGGGUUAGCGAAAGCGAAGCUCUUGAUCGAAGCCCCGGUAAACGGCGGCCGUAACUAUAACGGUCCUAAGGUAGCGAAAUUCCUUGUCGGGUAAGUUCCGACCUGCACGAAUGGCGUAACGAUGGCGGCGCUGUCUCCACCCGAGACUCAGUGAAAUUGAAAUCGCUGUGAAGAUGCAGUGUAUCCGCGGCUAGACGGAAAGACCCCGUGAACCUUUACUGUAGCUUUGCACUGGACUUUGAGCCUGCUUGUGUAGGAUAGGUGGGAGGCUUUGAAGCGUGGACGCCAGUCUGCGUGGAGCCAUCCUUGAAAUACCACCCUGGCAUGCUUGAGGUUCUAACUCUGGUCCGUUAUCCGGAUCGAGGACAGUGUAUGGUGGGCAGUUUGACUGGGGCGGUCUCCUCCUAAAGAGUAACGGAGGAGUACGAAGGUGCGCUCAGACCGGUCGGAAAUCGGUCGUAGAGUAUAAAGGCAAAAGCGCGCUUGACUGCGAGACAGACACGUCGAGCAGGUACGAAAGUAGGUCUUAGUGAUCCGGUGGUUCUGUAUGGAAGGGCCAUCGCUCAACGGAUAAAAGGUACUCCGGGGAUAACAGGCUGAUACCGCCCAAGAGUUCAUAUCGACGGCGGUGUUUGGCACCUCGAUGUCGGCUCAUCACAUCCUGGGGCUGAAGCCGGUCCCAAGGGUAUGGCUGUUCGCCAUUUAAAGUGGUACGCGAGCUGGGUUUAGAACGUCGUGAGACAGUUCGGUCCCUAUCUGCCGUGGACGUUUGAGAUUUGAGAGGGGCUGCUCCUAGUACGAGAGGACCGGAGUGGACGAACCUCUGGUGUUCCGGUUGUCACGCCAGUGGCAUUGCCGGGUAGCUAUGUUCGGAAUAGAUAACCGCUGAAAGCAUCUAAGCGGGAAACUAGCCUCAAGAUGAGAUCUCACUGGGAACUUGAUUCCCCUGAAGGGCCGUCGAAGACUACGACGUUGAUAGGUCGGGUGUGUAAGCGCUGUGAGGCGUUGAGCUAACCGAUACUAAUUGCCCGUGAGGCUUGACC